Small nuclear RNA from Ursus americanus (American black bear), 104 nucleotides. NCBI's taxonomy places the organism in Eukaryota, Metazoa, Chordata, Mammalia, Carnivora, Ursidae. The record is from Ensembl.
GUGUUCACUUCAGCAGCACAUAUACAAAAAUUGGAACGAUAGAGAGAUUAGUAAGGCCCUUUGGCAAGAAUGACAUGCAAAGUCAUGAAACAUUCCAUUUUUUA